This 72-nucleotide transfer RNA is filed under the name Bos taurus (domestic cattle). It matches the Rfam family "tRNA". From Rfam's summary of the family: Transfer RNA (tRNA) molecules are approximately 80 nucleotides in length. Their secondary structure includes four short double-helical elements and three loops (D, anti-codon, and T loops). Further hydrogen bonds mediate the characteristic L-shaped molecular structure. tRNAs have two regions of fundamental functional importance: the anti-codon, which is responsible for specific mRNA codon recognition, and the 3' end, to which the tRNAs corresponding amino acid is attached (by aminoacyl-tRNA synthetases). tRNAs cope with the degeneracy of the genetic code in two manners: having more than one tRNA (with a specific anti-codon) for a particular amino acid; and 'wobble' base-pairing, i.e. permitting non-standard base-pairing at the 3rd anti-codon position. The record is from Rfam by way of RNAcentral. Lineage: Eukaryota; Metazoa; Chordata; Mammalia; Artiodactyla; Bovidae. RNAcentral also lists the same sequence under 4 other names.
UCCCUGGAGGCUCAGAUGGUAAAGCGUCUGCCUGCAACGCAGGAGACCCAGGUUCAAUCCCUGGCUCAGGAA